RNAcentral lists this ribosomal RNA (424 nucleotides) under uncultured bacterium. RNAcentral describes it as "bacterial SSU rRNA". It matches the Rfam family "Bacterial small subunit ribosomal RNA", at positions 355 to 796 of the family's 1533-position model. The record is from RNAcentral.
UGGGGAAUAUUGGACAAUGGGGGAAACCCUGAUCCAGCAAUGCCGCGUGUGUGAAGAAGGUCUUAGGAUUGUAAAGCACUUUCGACGGGGACGAUGAUGACGGUACCCGUAGAAGAAGCCCCGGCUAACUUCGUGCCAGCAGCCGCGGUAAUACGAAGGGGGCUAGCGUUGCUCGGAAUGACUGGGCGUAAAGGGCGCGUAGGCGGAUGAUUUAGUUAGAUGUGAAAUUCCUGGGCUUAACCUGGGGACUGCAUUUAAUACAGGUCGUCUAGAGUGGGAUAGAGGGUUGUGGAAUUCCCAGUGUAGAGGUGAAAUUCGUAGAUAUUGGGAAGAACACCGGUGGCGAAGGCGGCAACCUGGAUCUUGACUGACGCUGAGGCGCGAAAGCGUGGGGAGCAAACAGGAUUAGAUACCCCUGUAGUCC